This is a long non-coding RNA of Pogoniulus pusillus (Red-fronted tinkerbird), 2132 nucleotides long. RefSeq lists it as uncharacterized. The transcript has 2 exons. The record is from RefSeq and is a predicted model, not a curated record. NCBI's taxonomy places the organism in Eukaryota, Metazoa, Chordata, Aves, Piciformes, Lybiidae.
UGGGAGCGCGGCUGCUGCCGCCGCGCUCCGGCCGAGCGCGCAUGCGUGCCCCGGCGCGGCUGAGGGCAGCGGAGGCUGUCCGGAUGUCCGCGGCGGUUGCGCGGAGCCGCUCGCUGGUGGAGCUGCGAGGGGCUGCGCUGGGCCCGGGCGCCCCCGGGCACGGAGGAGGGCUGGCAGGCUGGCUGUGGAGCGCGCAGUACUGCCAGCGGGCGCCGCCAGCUUGGCCGCUGCUGCUGGGUGCGUGUGGCCAGCCGCGGCCGUCAGAGGCGAGAGCAGAGCUGGCCCAGAGGCAGUUCUGCAGAAGCACGGCGUUGUGGCCUGGGUGCUGGGUCUUGUCGCUCUGAAGAGGUGCACCCCUGAGCCCACAGAAAUACAGGAGUGUUUAAGGGUGCAGCCGAGAAGCGGUUACCGACGUCUCCAGGGUCUGAACGGCGGCAGCGCAGGGCUGAGCUGCGCCGUGCUGAUGCCCUAGGGCAAAGGUGAGCCCAGAAGUGCGGCUGCAGGCAGAAGCACAGGUUCGUGGAAGAAGGGGAGGUGUACUUGCCUGCCUGCCUGCCUUCAUAGCGGCGGAGAGCGCCGUGCUCUCCCGCUGGGUGCUCAUCUGAAAUCUCUGGAGGUACUUAAAAGGAAAUUAUUUAAGACAAUGGAGCAAAACUAUGAAUCAAAAGCAAACUCCUGCAUCUGGAAUUCAAUGGCACCAAGCAGAAGUUCAGGCCAGAUACUGAAUGGCUCUGCACAUGGAUAUAGACAAAUAAAACAUGAGUCAGCAAUGGAUCCUUGCAGUCGAGAAGGCUAUUUGCAUUCUAGCUUGCUUUAGCACACAGAGAGCCACCAAGCCAAAAGAAGUGCUUAUUCUCCACUAAUCAUCAUUUUGAGAGCCUGCAUCUGCUUUACUGCCUCAAUUUUUCAGCUUCCUGUGAAAUAAAGAUGUGCACAAACCAGAUACAGAAUCCAGAGUUAAGAUGUCUGCAUGGCUGGAUCAUAAGGUUGAGACAAUUGGGCUUGUUCAGCACACAAAAGAAAUUAGAAGGCAUAUCUACAUGCAGUCUUCCACUACCUGUGGUGAUACAAGAGAGAAGGCAUAGCCAUACACCUCCUGGAUGUGCACAGCAAAUGGACAAGUGGAUGGGCAUAAAAGCUGCAGCCUAAAGAAUGCCAACUGAAAGCAAGGAAAAUAACUCCUCCCUGUGAAAAUGAGAAAAAUUCAGCUUCAGUGUGUAUGGGGUUUGUCUGAGCUGGAGUUCACUCUCAGCAGAGCACCUUUCUGCUGGUGUCUUUUGCAGUGCUGUAACUGGGUGUUGACAACAGUGUUUCAGCUGCUGCUGAGCCAGGUACCAAGGCUGUGCUUCUCCACUGUUUUCACCCUACAGGAGUACACUGGGGGGGUGAUCAAGAUCUUGGGAGAGGACAUAGCUGGGCCAGCUGGGCUCCUCAGUUCAAGAGAGAUGUUGAGAUACUGGAACAUGUCCAGAGAUGGCCAACAAAACUGGUGAGGGGCCUGGAGCACAGCCCUGUGAGGAGAGGCUGAGGGAGCUGGGGGUGUGCAGCCUGCAGAAAAAGAGGCUCAGGGCUGACCUCGUUGCUGUCUACAACUACCUGAGGGGAGGCUGUAGCCAGGUGGGGUUGGUCUCUUCUGCCAGGCAACCAGCAACAAAACAAGGGGACACAGUCUCAAGUUGUGCCAGGGGAGGUCUAGGCUGGAUGUUAGGAGGAAGCUCUUGCCAGAGAGUGAUUGACAUUGGAAUGGGCUGCCCAGGGAGGUGGAGGAGUCGCCAUCCCUGGAAGUGUUCAAGAAAAGCCUGGAUGAGGCACUUAGUGCCAUGGUCUGGUUAACUGGCUAGGGCUGGGUGCUAGGCUGGACUGGCUGAGCUUGGAGGUCUCUUCCAACCUGCUUGAUUCUGUCAAAGUGACUAAAGGGGAUUCCAUGCUAUAUGACAUCAGCUCAGAUGUAUAAGCUAAGUGAAGGAAGGAAGUGUGGGGACAGUCGUUGAUGGUGUCUGUCCUCUAGAGCAACCACUAUGUGCAUUUGGUGACUCCUGGGAAGCAGUGCUCCGAACUUCUCUACUUUGUCUCAAGCCAGAUGAUAACAUCUUUGUUUGCUUUUGCUUUGCAUUAAAGUUGCUUCUAUCUUA